AGGUNCUGCAUGGCNGUNGUCAGCNNGUNUUNUNAAAUGUUGGGUUNAGUNCCGCAACGAGCGCAACCCCUAUCCUUAUUUGCCAGGGGGACGACGUCAAGUCAUCAUGGCCCUUACGGGAUGGGCUACACACGUGCUACAAUGGCAAGUACAGAGGGCAGCAAUACCGCGAGGUGGAGCGAAUCCCACAAAGCUUGUCGUAGUCCGGAUUGGAGUCUGCAACUCGACUCCAUGAAGUCGGAAUCGCUAGUAAUCGUGGAUCAGAAUGCCACGGUGAAUACGUUCCCGGGCCUUGUACACACCGCCCGUCACACCAUGGGAGUAGGUUGCAAAAGAAGUGGCUAGUUUAACCUUCGGGAGGACGGUCACCACUUUGUGAU
This 380-nucleotide ribosomal RNA is filed under the name Thalassomonas sp. A511. Its description in RNAcentral is "partial 16S ribosomal RNA". It matches the Rfam family "Bacterial small subunit ribosomal RNA", at positions 1036 to 1468 of the family's 1533-position model. The record is from RNAcentral. Lineage: Bacteria; Pseudomonadati; Pseudomonadota; Gammaproteobacteria; Alteromonadales; Colwelliaceae.